GUAACUACUCAGGAUUAAUGUCAGAAGUUGAGUUUUUGUUGGUGACACUGACAAGCUUUGUUUCCCUCCCUGUGCUCCACACGGGCUCUGGUCCUCUAACACAAUCUUCCUGGGUCCCGUGCUCUGCAGGGCCAGGUCAGAUGAUUUCCUGAGCAGUGCGUAUGUCCUGUGAUGUCCUGUGUUGCUGGAAUGGAGUGGAUUCUUCUCUCUCAGUGAGGAAUAGCUUUCUGAUUGUGAUCUCAGUGGAAGUCACGUGCUGUACCCACCACUGGGCAGACCUUGCUGGCCACGGCCUCCACGUGCAGUGACCGUUCUCUUGGCAGCGUCUCAGGCUGUCUGGACCAGCUGUCACAGUCUCGCUGUGGGUGAGUCACCUGAGGCACUGUAUGGCGGAUAGAAGGAUUCAUUGCCCUGGGAGGUUUUGCCUGGCAUUCUGCAGAAGCAUUGCUGUAUCUUACCAGACAGGAAUACAGGCAAUGCUGUGAAGCGUCAGAGGGAAUUCCGUUGGUUACUUUCCCAUACGGUCUUGUUCAGCUGCUUGUUCUCAGAAAAGUGUGUUUGUUGGUGGAGGAGAAUGCGACCAAGGAGACCAUCCUUUUCAUGAAGGCACAAACGUGAAUACAUAUGUGACUUUUAAGCCUUUAAAUAAAAACCCAA
This 657-nucleotide long non-coding RNA is filed under the name Homo sapiens (human). RNAcentral describes it as "HSALNT0131916". Lineage: Eukaryota; Metazoa; Chordata; Mammalia; Primates; Hominidae. The record is from RNAcentral.